This 638-nucleotide ribosomal RNA is filed under the name Pisolithus tinctorius. RNAcentral describes it as "eukaryotic LSU rRNA". It matches the Rfam family "Eukaryotic large subunit ribosomal RNA", at positions 39 to 648 of the family's 3401-position model. The record is from RNAcentral. Lineage: Eukaryota; Fungi; Basidiomycota; Agaricomycetes; Boletales; Pisolithaceae.
CAUAUCAAUAAGCGGAGGAAAAGAAACUAACGAGGAUUCCCCUAGUAACUGCGAGUGAAGCGGGAAAAGCUCAAAUUUCGAAUCUGGCGGUCCCUGGCCCGUCCGAGUUGUAAUCUAGAGAAGCGUCUUCCGCGCUGGACCGUGUACAAGUCUCCUGGAAGGGAGCAUCGUAGAGGGUGACAAUCCCGUCUCUGACACGGACUCCCAGGGCUAUGUGAUGCGCUCUCGACGAGUCGAGUUGUUUGGGAAUGCAGCUCUAAUUGGGUGGUAAACUCCAUCUAAAGCUAAAUACAGGCGAGAGACCGAUAGCGAACAAGUACCGUGAGGGAAAGAUGAAAAGAACUUUGGAAAGAGAGUUAAACAGUACGUGAAAUUGCUGGAAGGGAAACGCUUCAAGUCAGUCGCGUCGGCCGGGGAUCAACCUUGCUUCUUGCUGGGUGCAUUUCCUGGUCGACGGGUCAGCAUCGAUUUCGGUCGUCGUACAAGGGUGGAAGCGAACGUGGCACUCCUCGGAGUGUGUUAUAGCCUCUCACACGCAUGCGACGACUGGGAUCGAGGAACUCAGCACGACCCCUCGGGGUUCGGGGCUUCGGCUCACGUCCCGUGCUUAGGAUGCUGGCAUAAUGGCUUCAAGCGAC